This 850-nucleotide ribosomal RNA is filed under the name bacterium enrichment culture. Its description in RNAcentral is "bacterial SSU rRNA". It matches the Rfam family "Bacterial small subunit ribosomal RNA", at positions 9 to 885 of the family's 1533-position model. The record is from RNAcentral.
GAGUUUGAUCAUGGCUCAGGAUGAACGUUGGCGGCGUGCCUUAAGCAUGCAAGUCGAACGGUGCAGCAAUGCACAGUGGCGAACGGCGAAGUAAUACAUAAGCAACGUGCCCCGAAGACUGGGAUAGUCGUUGGAAACGACGGGUAAUACCAGAUGUGACCGCAGAUUGGCAUCAAUUUGCGAUUAAAAGGUUUUUCGCUUCGGGAGCGGCUUAUGGCCUAUCAGGUAGUUGGUGGGGUAAUGGCCUACCAAGCCGACGACGGGUAGCGGGUCUGAGAGGAUGAUCCGCUCGAGUGGGACUGAGACACGGCCCACACACCUACGGGUGGCAGCAGCUUGGAAUCUUGCACAAUGGGGGAAACCCUGAUGCAGCGACGCCGCGUGGAGGAUGAAUGGCUUAGGCUUGUAAACUCCUUUUGACAGGAAAGACUUAGGACGGUACCUGUCGAAUAAGGUCCGGCUAACUACGUGCCAGCAGCCGCGGUAAGACGUAGGGACCAAACGUUGUCCGGAUUUACUGGGCGUAAAGAGCGCGUAGGCGGCUCGUUAAGUGUGAAGUGAAAUCUCUGGGCUCAACUCAGAAACUGCUUUGCAUACUGGCGGGCUUGAGGCGUGAAGAGGUUUGUAGAAUUCCCGGUGUAGCGGUGAAAUGCGUAGAUAUCGGGAGGAAUACCAAUGGCGAAGGCAGCAAACUGGUCACGACCUGACGCUGAGGCGCGAAAGCGUGGGUAGCAAACAGGAUUAGAUACCCUGGUAGUCCACGCCCUAAACGAUGGAUACUAGGCGUAAGAGGUAUCGACCCCUCUUGUGCCGCAGCUAACGCAUUAAGUAUCCCGCCUGGGGAGUACGG